AGUGAACGCUGGCGGUAGGCCUAACACAUGCAAGCCGAACGGCAGCACAGUAAGAGCUUGCUCUUACGGGUGGCGAGUGGCGGACGGGUGAGGAAUACAUCGGAAUCUACUUUUUCGUGGGGGAUAACGUAGGGAAACUUACGCUAAUACCGCAUACGACCUACGGGUGAAAGCAGGGGAUCUUCGGACCUUGCGCGAUUGAAUGAGCCGAUGUCGGAUUAGCUAGUUGGCGGGGUAAAGGCCCACCAAGGCGACGAUCCGUAGCUGGUCUGAGAGGAUGAUCAGCCACACUGGAACUGAGACACGGUCCAGACUCCUACGGGAGGCAGCAGUGGGGAAUAUUGGACAAUGGGCGCAAGCCUGAUCCAGCCAUACCGCGUGGGUGAAGAAGGCCUUCGGGUUGUAAAGCCCUUUUGUUGGGAAAGAAAAGCAGCAGGUUAAUACCCCGCUGUUCUGACGGUACCCAAAGAAUAAGCACCGGCUAACUUCGAG
This 492-nucleotide ribosomal RNA is filed under the name uncultured bacterium. Its description in RNAcentral is "partial 16S ribosomal RNA". It matches the Rfam family "Bacterial small subunit ribosomal RNA", at positions 29 to 507 of the family's 1533-position model. The record is from RNAcentral.